Molecule: long non-coding RNA, 1181 nt
Organism: Callorhinchus milii (elephant shark)
Lineage: Eukaryota; Metazoa; Chordata; Chondrichthyes; Chimaeriformes; Callorhinchidae
Exons: 2
Source: RefSeq, a predicted model, not a curated record
ACUCAAUCCCCGGCUGUUAAACACACGGCCCCCAAUGCACUGGACAAUACCUCCUGCGAAGCGCUUUGAGAAGACUCGGAAGAGGGGACCGAACCGCUACGUCAGUUGCUAAGGGUUAAAUUCCGCACAGGUUCACAUCAGGAGCUCUUGGGAUUAAUCCGGGUAUUUUCCGGUGACACGACCUACCCCGGGAGCGGAGUCCCUGAGGCUUGACGGAAAUUCUGGCGGAAAUCCUGGGGGAACCAUUGCGAAUGAGACUCCCGCCCGAACGACUCUGUACUGAAUUACGCGCGAACAGCAGUGUAGGCAUCGAGUUCUCGAACUGAAAUCGGUACCAGGAGGUGAGCAGAGCAACGACGACGGGAGUCGUUCCUGAACAAUCCCACGUCAUUGGCAGGUGUGUCGCUUCCACCUCAGGAUUGGCGGUGAAUGGCAAAUUCCAUGGCACUAUUGGAAGACGGGGUUGUUUUUUCCCAGUGUCAAGGCAAAAAUUGGCUACACGCUCCAUGGCUGUUGUGACCACCUACAAAAUGAGCACUGGACUACAUAACCAAAAUGUCAACAUGUCACCAAUUCUCUUCCUAAAGGUGAUGCAGACGCGGGCAUUUUCCCCAGGACUUUCACUAAACUUUCUCAAUUGACCACUUCUUUUAACAUCCUGGACUGGUGCAGAGGUUAGGGGUGGGGGGAGGGAGAAGCGAAAGAAAAAUCAUCGCUAUUAUCAAACGUCCACUUCCAGCAGCUAUCACUACACCGUGUCUUCGGUCACCUUUCCACCCCUACCCACCUCUUGCCUUCCUCUCGACUCCAACCCCCAGCUCAAGUGUAAACCCUUCACGGUCAAGCACCUUGGGUUCUCUCGAAGUGAAAGGAGCUAUAUAAAUGCAAUUUGUCGCUGUCCAGUGAGAAAUCAGGAUGAAAAUGUUUGCUGAUCCUCACCCCUCUCUCAAGGUCAAACAUCAGGACUAAUUGCACUGUUCUACCCCUGCUCUGGCUGAGAUUUUGAAAUGGAUCACUGAUCACAGAUCAAGACUUCGGGAAUUGCUGGUCUGACUGGCUCAGUAUAUUGUUCACUCAGACAUGAGAGGUCAAGAGUAGCAUCUCUGUAACUACUUGUAUUCCAGCCAGUUCUCAGAAAUUAUUAAAUAGACACAUUCUAGUGAAAUGUGCUUUAAUUCCUG